This 600-nucleotide ribosomal RNA is filed under the name Staphylococcus capitis. RNAcentral's name for it is "bacterial SSU rRNA". It matches the Rfam family "Bacterial small subunit ribosomal RNA", at positions 65 to 647 of the family's 1533-position model. Lineage: Bacteria; Bacillati; Bacillota; Bacilli; Caryophanales; Staphylococcaceae. The record is from RNAcentral.
AGCGAACAGACGAGGAGCUUGCUCCUCUGACGUUAGCGGCGGACGGGUGAGUAACACGUGGAUAACCUACCUAUAAGACUGGGAUAACUUCGGGAAACCGGAGCUAAUACCGGAUAACAUGUUGAACCGCAUGGUUCAACAGUGAAAGACGGUCUUGCUGUCACUUAUAGAUGGAUCCGCGCCGCAUUAGCUAGUUGGUAAGGUAACGGCUUACCAAGGCAACGAUGCGUAGCCGACCUGAGAGGGUGAUCGGCCACACUGGAACUGAGACACGGUCCAGACUCCUACGGGAGGCAGCAGUAGGGAAUCUUCCGCAAUGGGCGAAAGCCUGACGGAGCAACGCCGCGUGAGUGAAGAAGGUCUUCGGAUCGUAAAACUCUGUUAUUAGGGAAGAACAAAUGUGUAAGUAACUAUGCACGUCUUGACGGUACCUAAUCAGAAAGCCACGGCUAACUACGUGCCAGCAGCCGCGGUAAUACGUAGGUGGCAAGCGUUAUCCGGAAUUAUUGGGCGUAAAGCGCGCGUAGGCGGUUUUUUAAGUCUGAUGUGAAAGCCCACGGCUCAACCGUGGAGGGUCAUUGGAAACUGGAAAACUUGAGU